Molecule: long non-coding RNA, 524 nt
Organism: Drosophila sechellia
Lineage: Eukaryota; Metazoa; Arthropoda; Insecta; Diptera; Drosophilidae
Exons: 3
Source: RefSeq, a predicted model, not a curated record
GUCUGGAAAGCACCUAUUUAUACCGCCCACUGUUUUGCUUUGAAUCAUAUUAGGUACCCCCUUAUCAGGCCCAUUGCCAAUUUGAAGUGGCAAGUGACAAUUUCUAAUCCAAUGCCGGAAAAAGAGUCACACCGACGCUGGAACUGCUCUACUCCUCGCUCAGGAGUGAAGCUACAAGCACCUUACAGUGCACCGACCCCACGAAAGUGUAACAAUAAUAAUGGCGAUAAGGAAGCUUCCCACUUCACUCAAUUAAAUUGAACAAUUUCGGUAUUAUUGCGCUCGGAUCCAAUCAUCCCCCUUCCGCCCCGCCGGCAGCUGCGAUAAGACCACGACUCCCACUUUGGGAGUACGGCCUGGCCUAUCCGGUGAUGGAUUGACACCUGCCGGCGUCUACCUGUUGGACUCUCCCCUCCCCUCCUCGCUCUUUUGGACUUCCCUCCUCGCGAUGGGGAAAGAACUUCCCGGAAUCUUAUCGCCAGUGGACUUCCCUGGAAGUGGGGCGUCGAGUACCUUCGAGACGA